This 435-nucleotide ribosomal RNA is filed under the name uncultured bacterium. RNAcentral describes it as "bacterial SSU rRNA". It matches the Rfam family "Bacterial small subunit ribosomal RNA", at positions 64 to 492 of the family's 1533-position model. The record is from RNAcentral.
GAGCGGCAGCACGGGUACUUGUACCUGGUGGCGAGCGGCGGACGGGUGAGUAAUGCCUAGGAAUCUGCCUGGUAGUGGGGGAUAACGCUCGGAAACGGACGCUAAUACCGCAUACGUCCUACGGGAGAAAGCAGGGGACCUUCGGGCCUUGCGCUAUCAGAUGAGCCUAGGUCGGAUUAGCUAGUUGGUGAGGUAAUGGCUCACCAAGGCGACGAUCCGUAACUGGUCUGAGAGGAUGAUCAGUCACACUGGAACUGAGACACGGUCCAGACUCCUACGGGAGGCAGCAGUGGGGAAUAUUGGACAAUGGGCGAAAGCCUGAUCCAGCCAUGCCGCGUGUGUGAAGAAGGUCUUCGGAUUGUAAAGCACUUUAAGUUGGGAGGAAGGGCAUUUACCUAAUACGUAAGUGUUUUGACGUUACCGACAGAAUAAGCA